This 735-nucleotide long non-coding RNA is filed under the name Elaeis guineensis (African oil palm). RNAcentral describes it as "long non-coding RNA (EGUI_LNC042926)". The record is from RNAcentral. Lineage: Eukaryota; Viridiplantae; Streptophyta; Magnoliopsida; Arecales; Arecaceae.
CUAUGCAAACAUUAGUGGGUUUCCUUAUUUUCUUACUAAUUUUUUAGUCUUUCUUCUUUAUUUUCUUUUGCUAGUUUUUCUUGAUUCUUUCUCUUCUUCUUCCAUCCCUUCUUCUUCUUCUUUUCAUUCUCCUCCUUUAAUGGCUAGCUCUGAGAAUCCCAGUGAGAAUCGGUCCUUCGAGUCUUCUUCUUCUUUGGGGUGAAAUCUCAUAGAUUCCAGUAUUGGGCAUGAGGUCGGACCACCUUUUGUGCCUGGCAUCAUUGGGUCCAUAUUAGACUAGGGGGACCUAAGUCUGAUCCAGACUCAAUAUAGAACUCCUUCUUCAUAUGAGCUGGAGCUUUUGGGGUCCAGCGAUAGGAUCAAUGACCCUCCCCCUGGCAUGAUCGGCUUGUAUGAGAAAGCAUUUCAAGCUGGACUUAGGCUACCCAUCCAUCCUUUUGUUGUUGAGCCCUUUCACUUCUUCAAUAUUUUUAUUUAUUCUAUCAUCCCAAAUUCCUUCCACUUCAUCAUCGGCUUCAUUGCCAUUUGCAUCCUUACCGAAGUCCAACCAUUCAUCUCCCUCUUCUAAUCCUUCUACAUCAUAGAAAGAUAUACCAGAGACUGAUGGCAUGUCUCUUCUCCAAAGGAUAUCCCUACUUUGAUAAAAGGGGCCCCUUCUUCGAUUCAUAGGUAGAAGGAUUGAUUUUUGUUUUUUUCAAACACUUCUAUUGAGAGUUGGAGAUUUUCUUAUCGGGG